This 267-nucleotide signal recognition particle RNA is filed under the name Oscillospiraceae bacterium. RNAcentral describes it as "signal recognition particle sRNA large type". It matches the Rfam family "Bacterial large signal recognition particle RNA". Rfam says of the family: The signal recognition particle (SRP) is a universally conserved ribonucleoprotein involved in the co-translational targeting of proteins to membranes. Archaeal SRP consists of a 7S RNA and homologues of the eukaryotic SRP19 and SRP54 proteins. In most bacteria, the SRP consists of a 4.5S RNA and the Ffh protein (a homologue of the eukaryotic SRP54 protein). Lineage: Bacteria; Bacillati; Bacillota; Clostridia; Eubacteriales; Oscillospiraceae. The record is from RNAcentral.
UCAUACCAGCCGGGGAGGUAGCGGCGCCUUGUACCUGAAAUCCGCUAUAGCAGGGGUUCAUUCCCGUCCCGAGGGCUGCUCUUGUGCAGUCUGCACCGUUUUCGUCUGUGUUGAAGAAUUGGUCUUGCGCAAUUCGAGGCUGUGAACCAUGUCAGGUGGGGAACCAAGCAGCAUUAAGCGGUUUAUCGGAUGUGCCGCAAGGUUGCCUGUUCGGAGCAGACGGGGCGGUUACCGUGUGUAAGGGUAUUUCGACGGAGGGGUGUAUGG